GAUGAACGCUGGCGAGAUGCCUUACACAUGCAAGUCGUACGAGAGUUUUUAACUCAAGUGGCGGACGGGUGAGUAACACGUAAGAAUUUGCCUUUAGGAGGGGGACAACAACUGGAAACGGUUGCUAAUACCCCAUAUGCUUUCGAGUGAAAUGGAUUUUCCGCCUAGAGAGAAGCUUGCGGCUGAUUAGCUUGUUGGUGAGGUAAUGGCUCACCAAGGCGACGAUCAAUAGCUGGUUUGAGAGGAUGAUCAGCCACACUGGGACUGAGACACGGCCCAGACUCCUACGGGAGGCAGCAGUGGGAAUCUUAGACAAUGGGGGCAACCCUGAUCUAGCCAUGCCGCGUGAGUGACGAAGGCCCUAGGGUCGUAAAGCUCUUUCGCCAGGGAUGAUAAUGACAGUACCUGGUAAAG
RNAcentral lists this ribosomal RNA (414 nucleotides) under uncultured bacterium. RNAcentral describes it as "bacterial SSU rRNA". It matches the Rfam family "Bacterial small subunit ribosomal RNA", at positions 28 to 487 of the family's 1533-position model. The record is from RNAcentral.